This 123-nucleotide small RNA is filed under the name Olea europaea subsp. europaea. Its description in RNAcentral is "U1 spliceosomal RNA". It matches the Rfam family "U1 spliceosomal RNA", at positions 1 to 126 of the family's 166-position model. From Rfam's summary of the family: U1 is a small nuclear RNA (snRNA) component of the spliceosome (involved in pre-mRNA splicing). Its 5' end forms complementary base pairs with the 5' splice junction, thus defining the 5' donor site of an intron. There are significant differences in sequence and secondary structure between metazoan and yeast U1 snRNAs, the latter being much longer (568 nucleotides as compared to 164 nucleotides in human). Lineage: Eukaryota; Viridiplantae; Streptophyta; Magnoliopsida; Lamiales; Oleaceae. The record is from Rfam by way of RNAcentral.
AUACUUUAAUUGGACGGGGUUGAUGGAUGAUCAUGAAGGCCCAUAACCUAGGUCGUUGACUUCCAUUGCACUUGGGAGUGGUCAUCGCCUAAGGUCGACCCUAGUGGUCGAGCCUAUGUUAAU